Molecule: ribosomal RNA, 677 nt
Filed under: uncultured bacterium
Lineage: Bacteria
Description: SSU rRNA
Rfam family: Bacterial small subunit ribosomal RNA
Source: RNAcentral
GGAACGUGCCCGAUCGUGGGGGAUAACGGAGCGAAAGCUUUGCUAAUACCGCAUACGAUCUACGGAUGAAAGCAGGGGACCCUUGGGCCUUGCGCGGACGGAGCGGCCGAUGGCAGAUUAGGUAGUUGGUGGGAUAAAAGCUUACCAAGCCGACGAUCUGUAGCUGGUCUGAGAGGACGACCAGCCACACUGGGACUGAGACACGGCCCAGACUCCUACGGGAGGCAGCAGUGGGGAAUUUUGGACAAUGGGCGCAAGCCUGAUCCAGCCAUGCCGCGUGCAGGGAUGAAGGCCUUCGGGUUGUAAACUGCUUUUGUACGGAACGAAAAGACUCCUUUUAAUAAAGGGGGUUCAUGACGGUACCGUAAGAAUAAGCACCGGCUAACUACGUGCCAGCAGCCGCGGUAAUACGUAGGGUGCAAGCGUUAAUCGGAAUUACUGGGCGUAAAGCGUGCGCAGGCGGUUAUAUAAGACAGAUGUGAAAUCCCCGGGCUCAACCUGGGAACUGCAUUUGUGACUGUAUAGCUGGAGUACGGCAGAGGGGGAUGGAAUUCCGCGUGUAGCAGUGAAAUGCGUAGAUAUGCGGAGGAACACCGAUGGCGAAGGCAAUCCCCUGGGCCUGUACUGACGCUCAUGCACGAAACGUCGUGGGGAGCGAAACAGGAUUAGAUACCCGU